Molecule: long non-coding RNA, 614 nt
Organism: Mauremys mutica (yellowpond turtle)
Lineage: Eukaryota; Metazoa; Chordata; Testudines; Geoemydidae
Exons: 3
Source: RefSeq, a predicted model, not a curated record
UCUAGAACAAUUCAAAAACCAGACAAAACCACAAGGCAAAGUUGAAUGGGAGAAGGUGACAAGCGGUGACCAAGCAGUAAAGCUGAGAAUGAAUCAUUGGAACAGCUUCAAGAGGAGAAACUGAAGGAGCUUUGUGUCAGAAUAUUCCAUAGUCAAGUGGUCAGGGCCCUCACCUGACAGCUAGUAGAUGCCUCUUCAAAUCCCUUCUUCCCCAUAGGCAGAGGUGGCACUUCAAUUGGGAUUUGUCUCACAUCCCAGCACUGUUCCUUAUUGACAAGGCUACUUGUACUGGAGUGGAAAGGCUAGAGGUCAGCAUUCACAUGCAGCAUAUGAGAUGGGCCGAGCACUGCUGGAACAUACAGUUUGUGGGACAGUACUUUGUCAUGGCUUGGUAAGAUAUAUUUAAAUAUAUGAUCCUAUUUCGAUACAUGCCCAUUAGGAACUGUUUGCUUACUGUCAAUAGGGAUCUCAAGAGACUGUUUCUAAGAGGACUGUUCCUGAUUUGCGUGUUUAGAAUCACAAACUUUGGUAACAGUGAAUAUUGUCAUGUUCCAUCUUACAUUUCUGUGGAUGUAAAUUUCUUUGUGUAUAUUACUGGAUGGCAGCUUAUUUGG